UGUCUUAAUUUUUUUUAUGGGCAUGGAAACUUAUUGAGUAGUGAUCCCAAACCAAACAUGAGACCAAACUUGCUGCCUGGAAAUCGUCAGUGCUGAUGAUAGGUUUAUGAUUGGCAUAGAUGGAACCCAUCAGAAGGUACAAGUGAGAGGAACUCUAAAAGUGACAGGAAUACAAUAACUACUUGACAGUAAGACAGGAGAAGUCAAGAUGUUGAACAAUUAAGAAAAGAAUGUGAUGCCAAUGGAAG
Molecule: long non-coding RNA, 248 nt
Filed under: Gorilla gorilla gorilla (western lowland gorilla)
Lineage: Eukaryota; Metazoa; Chordata; Mammalia; Primates; Hominidae
Description: lncRNA (ENSGGOG00000044460.1)
Source: RNAcentral